UACGUAGGCAGCGAGCGUUGUUCGGAAUUACUGGGCGUAAAGAGUGUGUAGGCGGUGCUCCAAGUCUGGUGUGAAAUCUCCCGGCUUAACUGGGAGGGUGCAUUAGAAACUGGAAUGCUAGAGGAUGGGAGAGGUAAGCGGAAUUCCUGGUGUAGCAGUGAAAUGCGUAGAUAUUACCAGGAACACCAAUGGCGAAGGCAGCUUGCUGGGCCACUCCUGACACUGAGGUACGAAAGCGUGGGGAGCGAACAGG
RNAcentral lists this ribosomal RNA (253 nucleotides) under uncultured bacterium. RNAcentral describes it as "partial 16S ribosomal RNA". It matches the Rfam family "Bacterial small subunit ribosomal RNA", at positions 524 to 776 of the family's 1533-position model. The record is from RNAcentral.